UACGUAGGCAGCGAGCGUUGUUCGGAGUUACUGGGCGUAAAGGGUGCGUAGGCGGCCGAUUAAGUUUGUCGUGAAAUCUCCCGGCUCAACUGGGAGGGUGCGGCGAGUACUGACCGGCUAGAGUGUGGGAGAGGAGAGUGGAAUUCCUGGUGUAGCGGUGAAAUGCGUAGAUAUCAGGAGGAACACCUGCGGUGUAGACGGCUUCCUGGACCAUUACUGACACUGAUGCACGAAAGCGUGGGUAGCAAACAGG
Molecule: ribosomal RNA, 253 nt
Filed under: uncultured bacterium
Lineage: Bacteria
Description: partial 16S ribosomal RNA
Rfam family: Bacterial small subunit ribosomal RNA
Source: RNAcentral